GACGAACGCUGGCGGCGUGCCUAACACAUGCAAGUCGAACGGAACUGUUUUGAAAGAUUUCUUCGGAAUGAAUUUGAUUUAGUUUAGUGGCGGACGGGUGAGUAACGCGUGAGUAACCUGCCUUCAAGAGGGGGAUAACAUUCUGAAAAGAAUGCUAAUACCGCAUGACAUAUCGGAAUCACAUGGUUUUGAUAUCAAAGAUUUUAUCGCUUGAAGAUGGACUCGCGUCCGAUUAGUUAGUUGGUGAGGUAACGGCUCACCAAGACCGCGAUCGGUAGCCGGACUGAGAGGUUGAACGGCCACAUUGGGACUGAGACACGGCCCAGACUCCUACGGGAGGCAGCAGUGGGGGAUAUUGCGCAAUGGGGGCAACCCUGACGCAGCAACGCCGCGUGAAGGAUGAAGGUUUUCGGAUUGUAAACUUCUUUUAUUAAGGACGAAAAUUGACGGUACUUAAUGAAUAAGCUC
Molecule: ribosomal RNA, 468 nt
Filed under: uncultured bacterium
Lineage: Bacteria
Description: bacterial SSU rRNA
Rfam family: Bacterial small subunit ribosomal RNA
Source: RNAcentral